Molecule: long non-coding RNA, 135 nt
Organism: Gorilla gorilla gorilla (western lowland gorilla)
Lineage: Eukaryota; Metazoa; Chordata; Mammalia; Primates; Hominidae
Exons: 3
Source: RefSeq, a predicted model, not a curated record
GGGAGAUAUACAAGUAGUCAAGGCCUUCAACAACUUGAUGAUGUCUGCCCUCAUUUGGAAGAUUCAAAAAUUUUCUUCAUGUCACAAAAUGCUACAACCUAGACAACAGUGCCAUUAUUAUUUUUUAACUGGGGC